GAUGAACGCUGGCGGCGUGCUUAACACAUGCAAGUCGAACGGAGUACCCUUGAAGGAGUUUUCGGACAACUGAAAGGACUACUUAGUGGCGGACGGGUGAGUAACGCGUGAGUAACCUGCCUUGGAGUGGGGAAUAACAGCUGGAAACAGCUGCUAAUACCGCAUGAUGCAGUUGGGUCGCAUGGCUCUGACUGCCAAAGAUUUAUCGCUCUGAGAUGGACUCGCGUCUGAUUAGCUGGUUGGCGGGGUAACGGCCCACCAAGGCGACGAUCAGUAGCCGGACUGAGAGGUUGGCCGGCCACAUUGGGACUGAGACACGGCCCAG
RNAcentral lists this ribosomal RNA (325 nucleotides) under uncultured bacterium. RNAcentral describes it as "bacterial SSU rRNA". It matches the Rfam family "Bacterial small subunit ribosomal RNA", at positions 28 to 334 of the family's 1533-position model. The record is from RNAcentral.